GAUGAACGCUGGCGGCGUGCCUAACACAUGCAAGUCGAACGGAGAUUACGGACGGAAGUUUUCGGAUGGAAGACUGUAAUUCUUAGUGGCGGACGGGUGAGUAACGCGUGGGCAACCUGCCCUAUACAGGGGGAUAGCAGCUGGAAACGGCUGGUAAGACCGCAUAAGUCGGCGAGACCGCAUGGUUUUGCCGGGAAAUGAGCAAUCAGGUAUAGGAUGGGCCCGCGUCCGAUUAGCCAGUUGGCAGGGUAAAAGCCUACCAAAGCAACGAUCGGUAGCCGGACUGAGAGGUCGGACGGCCACAUUGGGACUGAGACACGGCCCAAACUCCUACGGGAGGCAGCAGUGGGGGAUAUUGCACAAUGGAGGAAACUCUGAUGCAGCGACGCCGCGUGAGUGAAGAAGUAUUUCGGUAUGUAAAGCUCUAUCAGCGGGGAAGAUGAUGACGGUACCUGACUAAGAAGCCCCGGCUAACUACGUG
This 481-nucleotide ribosomal RNA is filed under the name uncultured bacterium. RNAcentral describes it as "partial 16S ribosomal RNA". It matches the Rfam family "Bacterial small subunit ribosomal RNA", at positions 28 to 507 of the family's 1533-position model. The record is from RNAcentral.